UACAGAGACUACAAGCGUUAUUCGGAUUCACUGGGCGUAAAGGGUGCGCAGGCGGCCAAGUGUGUGAGGCGUGAAAGCCUGGGGCUUAACUCCAGAAUUGCACCUCAAACUACAUGGCUAGAGCAUUGGAGAGGGUAGCAGAAUUCACGGUGUAGCAGUGAAAUGCGUAGAUAUCGAGAGGAACACCUGCGGCGAAGGCGGGUUGCUGGGCUGACACUGACGCUGAGGCGCGAAAGCUAGGGGAGCGAACGGG
This 253-nucleotide ribosomal RNA is filed under the name uncultured bacterium. RNAcentral's name for it is "partial 16S ribosomal RNA". It matches the Rfam family "Bacterial small subunit ribosomal RNA", at positions 524 to 776 of the family's 1533-position model. The record is from RNAcentral.